GCCAGACUCCUACGGGAGGCAGCAGUGGGGAAUAUUGCACAAUGGGGGAAACCCUGAUGCAGCGACGCCGCGUGAGCGAUGAAGUAUUUCGGUAUGUAAAGCUCUAUCAGCAGGGAAGAAAAUGACGGUACCUGACUAAGAAGCCCCGGCUAACUACGUGCCAGCAGCCGCGGUAAUACGUAGGGGGCAAGCGUUAUCCGGAUUUACUGGGUGUAAAGGGAGCGUAGACGGCGGUGCAAGCCAGAUGUGAAAUCCUGCGGCUUAACCGCAGAACUGCAUUUGAAACUGUUGAUCUUGAGUACUGGAGAGGCAGACGGAAUUCCUAGUGUAGCGGUGAAAUGCGUAGAUAUUAGGAGGAACACCAGUGGCGAAGGCGGUCUGCUGGACAGCAACUGACGGUGAGGCGCGAAAGCGUGGGGAGCAAACAGGAUUAGAUACCCGGGUAUAA
RNAcentral lists this ribosomal RNA (448 nucleotides) under uncultured bacterium. RNAcentral's name for it is "partial 16S ribosomal RNA". It matches the Rfam family "Bacterial small subunit ribosomal RNA", at positions 330 to 793 of the family's 1533-position model. The record is from RNAcentral.